This 24-nucleotide non-coding RNA is filed under the name Rattus norvegicus (Norway rat). The record is from RNAcentral. Lineage: Eukaryota; Metazoa; Chordata; Mammalia; Rodentia; Muridae.
UGACCAAGAGGGGCCACACCUCCU